This 1626-nucleotide long non-coding RNA is filed under the name Panax ginseng (ginseng). RNAcentral's name for it is "long non-coding RNA (PGIN_LNC007988)". The record is from RNAcentral. Lineage: Eukaryota; Viridiplantae; Streptophyta; Magnoliopsida; Apiales; Araliaceae.
CACAUGGACAGACAUCCAUUACCUCGUACACUUGUUAGUACUAUUGAGCCCACUGACUGGAAUGAAGCUCUUGAUAUAAACUAUUGAUAUGGUUCUCCUGAGAAGGUUUUCUUUUACUAACCAUCGACUUGUAUUCUGACCAAAAGAUAUGUUAAUAAUUGCCCUAUCUCGCUGUUAAUAAAUGGGGAUUGUUUCUGGUAGCUGCAAGGGAAAGAUAAACCCUUCCCCUGAUUAGCUGAUCCUUAAGAUGUCGAACACGAGCAUCUGUCGGACCUGUUUGUUCAUUCUGUUUUUCGGUUUUGAUAUUUAUGGGUUCGCUGGUGCUAACUUUGGCUAAGGCUUGAACAGAAUGACGCACUAUAUCAACUAUUCACCUCAAUUCACACUAGCAUUCAACCACACGCUGUGGUACUUCCCUAAACCAUUCUCUCUCUCUCUCUGGUACUUAUAUUUAUUGUUUUAUUUAUAAGCAACUAUGGCAUAUGAUCUUGUAGAAUUUAUGAUUGGAGUUGAAAUUCAUUUACUGUACAUGACUUGCUUAGUUAUUUUAGGAUAUUAGGCAUUAAAUGCUUGAAUUAGUUAUAGACACUAGUCCAUUAUGUUCUGUUGAAGGAAUAAUAUGUGUAUUAUGAAGGGGAGGAACUUAUCUCGCUGACCUGGGUAUUUUUUGCCCUUACCACUUAAAAAUUUCCAAGUUAUCAAUAAAUGUGUCUUUCCAAUGUCUGCUGCAACAUGUUGAAUUCUUGGUAAAUAAAUCUAUGAUGUAUGUGAUUAUAGCUAGCAUCUUUGGGGCAUAUAUUAUAUGAAAAUUUGUCGUCUCAAGAAAAGUUUUUCCAUAUUGACUAAUAGCCUCAACUUUUUCAUAAUUGUUGUCCUUUCUAUAUAGAAAUCUAAACAUUGUUAUUUAAGAUUGUGUGAUGGUAUUUAAGAUUGUGUGAUGCUUGUGGUUGUUGAAUGUGACUGAAUUCUGACUUGAGGUCAACAUAUAGUAAUAAUCUACAAGUCUUGUAACAGAAAAUAUGUUUACCACUAUGCUUACUGAAAUUAAUUCAUGAAAUGGCCGAUUAAGAUUCUAUUUUUUUCUUGUAACAGAGUUAUCAUAUAGUUGCACUGAAGGUUCUUUUUCUAUUUGGAUUUGUAGAAAAUGAUAUUGUGAUUGCCUAUUUAUUUUUUUUCUGCUUAUGAGCAAUACAGUGUACAUUAGUACCACGUAGCAACUCUAUUGUCUUUGUGUAUUAAUUUCGGCACUAAGUGUCUCUGGUGACCUAUUUGCUUCAUUUUUCUGACUUGCUAUUAUUUUUAAAUAUGUGCAGGAAGACUGCUUCUACGACCUGCCUUACAAUACUGGGUAUCAAAUUUUCGUGCUACGUUUACGGAAGACAAGGGACGAAAUUAUGAAGUAUACUCUCUCUAUAUAUGUAUAUAUAUACUUUGAUUGAAGAACUAUGGUAGUUUUAGAUGGUUAAUUGUAAAGAUAAUGAAUGAUUAUGUAGUGGAUGAUUUUAUUAAGUUAAUAAUAUUUUAGUUUUUUGUAUUUUUGCUUUUAUUUGAUAUGGGGACAUUCAGUCAGGUACACAAAAAGAAUGUCAAAUUUUGAUUUGGCAAUAAUAUAAUUCGUUACCAAGG